GUAGUUCAGUUGGUUAGAAUACCGGCCUGUCACGCCGGGGGUCGCGGGUUCGAGUCCCGUCCACUCCGCCA
This 71-nucleotide transfer RNA is filed under the name Vibrio alginolyticus. RNAcentral's name for it is "tRNA-Asp". It matches the Rfam family "tRNA". Rfam says of the family: Transfer RNA (tRNA) molecules are approximately 80 nucleotides in length. Their secondary structure includes four short double-helical elements and three loops (D, anti-codon, and T loops). Further hydrogen bonds mediate the characteristic L-shaped molecular structure. tRNAs have two regions of fundamental functional importance: the anti-codon, which is responsible for specific mRNA codon recognition, and the 3' end, to which the tRNAs corresponding amino acid is attached (by aminoacyl-tRNA synthetases). tRNAs cope with the degeneracy of the genetic code in two manners: having more than one tRNA (with a specific anti-codon) for a particular amino acid; and 'wobble' base-pairing, i.e. permitting non-standard base-pairing at the 3rd anti-codon position. The record is from RNAcentral. RNAcentral also lists the same sequence under 13 other names. Lineage: Bacteria; Pseudomonadati; Pseudomonadota; Gammaproteobacteria; Vibrionales; Vibrionaceae.